Lampris incognitus (smalleye Pacific opah) is the source of this 150-nucleotide long non-coding RNA. RefSeq lists it as uncharacterized. The transcript is spliced from 3 exons. Lineage: Eukaryota; Metazoa; Chordata; Actinopteri; Lampriformes; Lampridae. The record is from RefSeq and is a predicted model, not a curated record.
CCGAGUCUGUGCAACCCUGCCAGAGAUACUAGGGAGGCGAAUAGAGCAUCGAUCAGAGAUGGUGCUGUUCUGCAGCUGAUGAAGCGCUGCUGAGAGUUACUCUGGCAGAGGGGCUGAUGGACAGCCAGUUAUACCUCUGUAAGACCCCAG